Long non-coding RNA from Anguilla anguilla (European eel), 1223 nucleotides. RefSeq lists it as uncharacterized. The record is from RefSeq and is a predicted model, not a curated record. The transcript is spliced from 5 exons. NCBI's taxonomy places the organism in Eukaryota, Metazoa, Chordata, Actinopteri, Anguilliformes, Anguillidae.
CAAGUCAACGGCGGAGGUAGAAUUAUGUGCAGUUUUGUGUACGGUAAUAUGUAUUUAGAAUAUAUUGAAAAAUAUUUCGCAAAAAAAUUAUUUGGUUAGCUAUCAGAUCCAACAAAUAGAAUAUGUAAAUUGUUGUGACUAUGAACUUUCAGGCAACAGCCUGGAAUGUAAGCUGCCAUGUUUCACAGAUUUCAUUGAAUGGGGUAAACAAAUGGUUUUGUUUGUUCAAGGACAGAGCUGGAUAUUUACUAAAGCAAUUAAGGAUGGGUGCCUUGCUUGAGUGUACAACAGCUGUGCCCUGGCUUGGGUCUGAACCUGCAACCUCUGGAUUAUGAAAGUCAGUGUGGCAUGCGGCUGAGUAAGCGUGGAGGACGAGCUGUCAACAACGCAAUCCAGUGUUUUAACCUCACGAGUGAAAGGUUGUCUGUGAGCUCCGUAAACACAUCUUAGCCUGAUUCCGAAGCGCGUCAGGAACUCAGACUGCUCAUCCGCCAGCACGCCAGAGAAUCACGCCAGGAUAACGCAGGGGUUGCGGGCAAAAAGGCAAGCUCAUCGCUCCCUUGUCUAAGAAGGUCCGCAUCAGCGGUUCUGCGGAAUGGGCGAGGCGCACCCCGCCCGUCUGUGUCCUGUUGCCGCGGUCUCGCGACGGCACAGUGCCAGAACGGAGACGUCCAAGCCGAGACGGGUCACAGCAGCUGCUGUUACAGAGCCUUUCGUUCCAAAACACAGACAGUCCCAGUGCUGAUUGGUCAGAGGAGUACAGCGCUCCUGACUGAAGGUUCUGAAUAGGCCUGAGGUCCUGACCCUGGUUCCAAUGAGAGAGCUGGGACCAGCAGGGCUUUGCUGGGGAGAAGCCCAGAAGGAAGCAGCAGCUUAUGACCCUUCACCAGAGUCCAUCAGCGUCAACACGUGGCUGACAAAUGCCAUCCAGGCACGUGACCAACGUUCAUCCAAUCACGUGACCAGAUGUCUCUCUCAGGACAUAGGCCCCACCUCAGCAGCUGAAGAGUUGCACCCACAGUAGCCUUCAGCAAGCUGCCAGACAGACGUAGUUCAAUCACCUUCAAUCAUAAAACUUGAGAGCGUUAGAUAACGAGUGUGUUUGAAUGAACACACAUUAUCUUUUUCUUCUGUUAUUUGUAAAUGACUUGGGAAUGAAUGUUGUAUGUCACAAAAUUUGUUGUCUUUAAGUACUCUUCUAAUUAAAAUGAACUUGGCUGCUA